RNAcentral lists this ribosomal RNA (632 nucleotides) under uncultured bacterium. RNAcentral describes it as "bacterial SSU rRNA". The stretch from base 1 to 536 matches the Rfam family "Bacterial small subunit ribosomal RNA", at positions 338 to 873 of the family's 1533-position model. The record is from RNAcentral.
CCUACGGGAGGCAGCAGUGGGGAAUCUUGCGCAAUGGCCGAGAGGCUGACGCAGCGACGCCGCGUGGGGGAUGAAGCAUUUCGGUGUGUAAACCCCUGUUGCUCGGGACGAACGACCCUUUUCGAGGGGUGUGACGGUACCGAGUGAGGAAGCACCGGCUAACUCCGUGCCAGCAGCCGCGGUAAUACGGAGGGUGCAAGCGUUGUCCGGAAUCACUGGGCGUAAAGGGCGCGUAGGUGGUUGGAUGCGCCGGUGGUGAAAGCGCAGGGCUCAACCCUGCGUCGGCCAUCGGGACGGUCCGACUGGAGCACUGUAGAGGCAGGUGGAAUUCCGGGUGUAGCGGUGGAAUGCGUAGAGAUCCGGAAGAACACCGGUGGCGAAGGCGGCCUGCUGGGCAGUUGCUGACACUGAGGCGCGACAGCGUGGGGAGCAAACAGGAUUAGAUACCCUGGUAGUCCACGCCGUAAACGAUGGGCACUAGGUGCUUGGGGGAGCGGACCCCCGUGNGUGCCGACGCUACGCAUAGUGCCGCCGUCGGGAGGUACGACCGGCCGAAGGUUAAGGUAAACGUACGAAGGAAGUUAGUUACGGCGUGAGGACGUUGCCGACGGACGACGACCGAGGGGAGGAGG